UUCCAGAAAUGUCUGGCGGCCUCCCUCCCCCUCCGCAAGGGGGCGGGUUGGAGGGUGUACAGUGUAUGGUAAUAUGGCGACAGUGUUGCUUGUGCGCUCGUCACUCCUGCGCCCCCUCAGUGACAGACCCCCACUUUGUUUGGGAUUCAAAUGGAAACGUACACAGAGAAGGUGGGCCCAGUGCCCGGGCAUGAAUCAUGAGGGUCUAGGGCGUGGACUCCAAGCCAUCUUGUGGUUAUGCCAUUCCUCUGUGCCAGCGUAAUCGCGGAGGUGAAUUCCGAGAUGGAUGAACGACCUGGUCAGCAGCUCAGGAGUGACUGGUCUGAGCUGAGUCCUGAAGGGGCUGGCACUGGCCACAUUCACCUGUAUUCUCCGCAUCUGGAACAACAGCUGGAGUGCCAUUGGUGCUCAGGAGAUCCCACACCCAGGAAAGGAGAGAUGAUGCAGUAGCUCUGGCCGCUGCCGGGCCUUUGAGCCCCUGGAGCCCUCGCUGCAGGUCCCCUGGGCUGCUGGGCUCGGAGCCGUGUGAGAGCAUCUCUCCCCCAGGGGACCCCAGUUAAGCGGUGCUGGGGAGGAGGGAGGCGGGGCGGAGAGGCCACAG
This 601-nucleotide long non-coding RNA is filed under the name Equus asinus (donkey). Its description in RNAcentral is "lncRNA (ENSEASG00005024836.1)". Lineage: Eukaryota; Metazoa; Chordata; Mammalia; Perissodactyla; Equidae. The record is from RNAcentral.